UUCAACUUGGACCAACUGAGAGUUCAGAAGGACACAAGCAGCAGACUCUGAAGCAGACCAUAUAUGGCCUGCAGGAGGCGCUACAGGAAGCAUCUCAGACACACACCACAGAGGUCUCGCAGCUGCGGCAGACUGUGGAUAGACUGCAGGCUCAGGUGGAGAAAGAUGCUGUGGUCCUACAGCAAAAGGCUCAGGAUGAAAGAAACCUGAGGAAACUCUGCGGUGAGAUGGAGGAGAUAUGGAGGCGGCACACAAACACAGAGCAGAGAAUAAUGAGUUGCGUCGAGAAGUUGCUGAUUUGCGUCGGCUGGUGCAGCAGACACAGGUGGAGGUUCAGGCUUUAAGGGAGGAGCUUGACCAGUCAGGCGUCAAUCAGCAGCCAGUUCCAAAACCUUAGAUGAAAGAAUCAGACUUCUCCGAGAGGUUGAGAAGCUCAAAGCAAAUUUAAUGGAAACUGAGGAAAAUCGUGCUAAGGUCUUGGAGAGGGCGAAACGACAUCAAAGGGUCCAUGCCAUGAACCAGAGUAAAAUGGAGCGAGAACUACAUUUGCUUGACGAUAUGAUUGAAACCGUCAGACAGACAUUGUCCUCUGUACCCGAUCUGGUCAAGAGCUCUCCUGAAUUACAAAAGCUUGUAGAGUUUCUUGGAUAAGUUGCUGAAAGUUAAGAAAUGUGUCAGUUGAAUUUUUUUUAAUGUAAUAGAUUAUCAGUAAACAGUUUAAGCUAAAUAAAGUUCUUUAGGCAUUGUUUCUAGAGAAGUGUUGGCCAAUAAGCUGACUUUGUAAGAUUUGAUUUUAAUGUUGAGUUAGUGUAUUGACACAAUCUGUUUAAAAACAUCACCAUCUUAAUUUAAAGCUUGUACAUGUGUUUUAAACUAUUAGAACUAGUACCAAUAACAAAUAAAUAAAUUCCUCUAAUACCGAUUUAACAGAAA
Long non-coding RNA from Danio aesculapii, 933 nucleotides. RefSeq lists it as uncharacterized. The transcript is spliced from 7 exons. NCBI's taxonomy places the organism in Eukaryota, Metazoa, Chordata, Actinopteri, Cypriniformes, Danionidae. The record is from RefSeq and is a predicted model, not a curated record.